ACUGCCUACUACUGAGGCUUAUUUAACAAGUUAUAUCUUACUGUUUUGGCUCUUACUUUAUAAUUAAUAUUCUCAGAAUCUAAUGGGAGACUUGCCCGUCAGCAACGAAUAAUAAUCCACGCAAGUUGCAAGGCAUCCCAGCAAGACAUACAAUACACCCAAGACACUAUCCUUCCUGUUCAAGAUGACAACGUCUAUGUUGCUGACUCAGAGCGAGCUAACAAAAGGACAUGUAUUGCUCUGGAGGACAUGUAUCUAAACAACAUGGCAAGACUCAAACCACCACGAAGUUGCGACCUCCCAAAAGUCCAACAUCUAUGCAAGAAUUGUUAUUAAUUCUUAAGAAUGGAGAAAUUUGUCCACUACAUUACUCAGAGAUAGAAAGUUAUGUUUUUAUUUACUAACUUUUUAAAGACCAAGCGGAGUUUAUAAUACUUCUACCAAGUUGCUUUUUU
Molecule: long non-coding RNA, 455 nt
Organism: Raphanus sativus (radish)
Lineage: Eukaryota; Viridiplantae; Streptophyta; Magnoliopsida; Brassicales; Brassicaceae
Exons: 2
Source: RefSeq, a predicted model, not a curated record